AUAGAGCGCAAACCUACGCCGAGGAAACACCAACAUCUUCUCAACGAUUAGUCAGAGACGAUUUUUAAAAUGAAAAGAUUUGAAGUAAACUCGACUGCUCUCACAAACAAGGAUACUAAAAAUGAACCCGACCACUGUCAAAUAGAUAGGAAGAGUUGGAGAAAGAG
Long non-coding RNA from Octopus sinensis (East Asian common octopus), 167 nucleotides. RefSeq lists it as uncharacterized. NCBI's taxonomy places the organism in Eukaryota, Metazoa, Mollusca, Cephalopoda, Octopoda, Octopodidae. The record is from RefSeq and is a predicted model, not a curated record. The transcript has 3 exons.